RNAcentral lists this ribosomal RNA (254 nucleotides) under uncultured bacterium. RNAcentral describes it as "partial 16S ribosomal RNA". It matches the Rfam family "Bacterial small subunit ribosomal RNA", at positions 524 to 776 of the family's 1533-position model. The record is from RNAcentral.
UACGGGGGGAGCAAGCGUUGUUCGGAUUUACUGGGCGUAAAGGGCGCGUAGGCGGCCACUGCAAGUCGGUUGUGAAAUCUCCGGGCUUAACCCGGAAAGGUCAAUCGAUACUGCAGGGCUAGAGUGCGGAAGGGGCAACUGGAAUUCUCGGUGUAGCGGUGAAAUGCGUAGAUAUCAGGAAGAACACCAAUGGCGAAAGCAGCUCUCUGGGACGGUACUGACGCUGAGACGCGAAAGCGUGGGGAGCGAACAGG